Molecule: ribosomal RNA, 329 nt
Filed under: uncultured eukaryote
Lineage: Eukaryota
Description: partial 18S ribosomal RNA
Rfam family: Eukaryotic small subunit ribosomal RNA
Source: RNAcentral
CCCUUAGAUGUCCGGGGCCGCACGCGCGCUACACUGAAGGAAUCAGCGUGGCUUUCUCCCCGACCCGAAAGGGUUGGGAAACCCGUUGAAUCUCCUUCGUGAUAGGGAUUGGGGCUUGAAAUUGUUCCCCAUGAACGAGGAAUUCCCAGUAAGCGCGAGUCAUAAGCUCGCGUUGAUUACGUCCCUGCCCUUUGUACACACCGCCCGUCGCACCUACCGAUUGGAUGGUCCGGUGAAGCCUCGGGAUUGUGGUUCUUGCCGCUUUAUUGUGGCGUGACCGCGAGAACUUGUCUAAACCUUAUCAUCUAGAGGAAGGUGAAGUCGUAACA